CACUCGGCGGCCGGGCCGCGGGGCGCCCCUCGGGUCCUCUGCCAGUCCCGGGCGCCAGGCUCGAGGGCCUGCAGGCGGCCGACGCGCCCUAGGCCGCUAUGACCCACUCACGGUGUGGUUCGCCCCACUCCCAGGCCCUUUGGGAACAAAUCCCACCUUCUGCUUCCUGUGCCCUCCCAGGCUCAGCCGAAAGGUUCAAGGACAGGGCCGCGAUCCGCUUCCAGGCACCAAAGAGUCCUCCUGUGAGCGUUUUCCAGAAACUUUCGUCUGUGAUGCAAGCCCACACUUUACAGAGGAAGACCCAGAGAGAUUCAGGAGCCGACCCUUGCCAAACAGUGGCACCUGAGUGGUACCAUGGUGAACACUGCGGAGUGUGGCCCUAAAUAAUAUCACAGUGACUGCAGUUCCAGGGGAAGAGAACUGGCAGCCCAACUUGUGGCCUUAUCAACAGGAAGAACCUGGGGUGCAGACAUGUCAGUCACUCACCAGUGUUGUAUUCCAAGAGGUGCAGCUAAUUCACACCCUGGCGGUCUGACUCCAGCCUCACUCCUGCACAUCCUGUUCAGCUGCCUCCUUCUUGUGGCAAAAUGCUGCUAGCUUCUACGCUCUUGUUACUGGGGCAGUGGAAGCAUCACAAGCAGAGAUGAGGCAUUUCCAGAGGACAGAACCCUUUCUCACAGACAGCCUGACGGAGAGAUGCUGCAGGGUCAGGGCAGAGAAGACGGAGGGCCUUCAGCUCUGCUGACUGCUACAAAGACCACAGUCGAGACCUCCUUCACUCCGGUGUAGCCUUCAACCAUUCCCUGGUUAGUUUUGCCCUUUGUGGCGCCCGGUCCACCCUUGCGCUGUGCUGGACCAGUGUUCUCACUCUAAUCUGUGUUUUACAGUUCACUUCUCCUUAGAGGAUUUAACCAUGAACCCCUUUGCAACCUCCCUCCUAGAUGGGUCUGUUGGUAACAUCUCUGCAGACGUGGCCUCAGCCACCAGUACACACAGCACUCUCACAUUCUGACAGCUGGAUCAGAGUCAGCAAAACCUGAAGAUACAAGAGAGAAAGGAAACACUUACUUGCCAUUUGACCAUAAUCAGGAACUACUGGAGGCGCAGAUAGAUGCCCCCAGGUUCUUUGCAGUAGCCACACUUUUGAAAUCAUUCUGAAGUUCAUUUUCUCCAUUCCUUUCUUUGAAGCGCACCUUCUCCUCAGUGUAAGUGGUUGGACAACAAUAGUGGCUGGACCCAUCUUUUGGUCUUGAGGAGCUGCCUUUAAUCAUUUACUUUAUGCUACCCAUGCUGAUCAAAGAACUCUUCCACAUUCCUGUUUUCUCAGCCCUGAGGAUGUGCUUUUGUGGAAGCCAGCCACCUACAGCAGGCAUUUCACGUUUUUCCUCUUUUAAAACAACAGUCUGUCGGCCCCAGACUGUCUUCCCACGUUGUCCUCCUGUGGGUCAGUGCACUAGACAGAAAUCAGCUUCUCACUGAAGUGUUUUCAUUUAGGGGAGAAGGCUCAAGCUUAUCCUUACUUCCCUGGUCUGGACAAUUUAAAGAAUUCCCCACCUACAUCUACCCCACAUUCUAGAAUAUUCUCGAGCACAAGGGCAUAAGCCAUGACUGUGCAUGACCGGUUGUGAGGCUGUGGCAAGUAAUCUGCAACCAACAAUGACAUGUCAGUGUUUGCGAUGGAUCCAAGGAUAUCCCCGUAAUCACACCCCUAUCACGCCUGGCAUCCCUGUAUUUUUUGAGAAGGCGAGAGAGGAGAACUGCAGGAGUCGUACACAUCACCGUCAUGACCUCCAGCCAAGGUCAUUUACGCCACAGCGCUGCCCAAACCACAGUGACUGACACUCUUAAUGGUUAUCUUGAUUAUAGCUUAUUGCAGUGAUUUAAACUGGAUAAACCCAUUUGUGACUAAUAAAGGUUCACAACCACUGGCCUGUCAUUUAAAAA
This is a long non-coding RNA of Camelus dromedarius (Arabian camel), 1944 nucleotides long. RefSeq lists it as uncharacterized. The transcript is spliced from 3 exons. The record is from RefSeq and is a predicted model, not a curated record. NCBI's taxonomy places the organism in Eukaryota, Metazoa, Chordata, Mammalia, Artiodactyla, Camelidae.